GGAGGGGUGCAAGCGUAUUCGGAAUCACUGGCGUAAAAAGCGCGUAGGCGGUUUCUAAAGUCAGAUGUGAAAGCCCGGGGCUCAAACCCCGGAAGUGCAUUUGAAACUUAGGGACUUGAGUAUGGGAGAGGGAAGUGGAAUUCCUGGUGUAGCGGUGAAAUGCGUAGAUAUCAGGAGGAACACCGGUGGCGAAGGCGACUUCCUGGACCAAUACUGACGCUGAGGCGCGAAGGGGUGGGGAGCAAACAGGAUUAGAUACCCUGGUAGUCCACGCAGUAAACGUUGAACACUAGGUGUAGCGGGUAUUGACCCCUGCUGUGCCGCAGCUAACGCAUUAAGUGUUCCGCCUGGGGAGUACGGCCGCAAGGCUA
Molecule: ribosomal RNA, 371 nt
Filed under: uncultured organism
Description: partial 16S ribosomal RNA
Rfam family: Bacterial small subunit ribosomal RNA
Source: RNAcentral